Mizuhopecten yessoensis (Yesso scallop) is the source of this 1250-nucleotide long non-coding RNA. RefSeq lists it as uncharacterized. The transcript has 3 exons. NCBI's taxonomy places the organism in Eukaryota, Metazoa, Mollusca, Bivalvia, Pectinida, Pectinidae. The record is from RefSeq and is a predicted model, not a curated record.
AGCUAUACGCGUUCGUAUGUAACGGAAACCAGCCUUCCGUGUAAUUUUGUACGUCACGCAUUGCGGCAAAACUUUUAGCGCGCGCGCGGAAAUAGCACGCGUAAAUGCGAGUAAGGUACUGAGCGGAUGUGAUGUAAUGUGUUGUAAACCUGUUUGUCCAGUACGUAUUGUCUAUGUAUAGAAUACCUAGUAUUGAAUGUAGGGUAAUUUACCUGGUGCACUGGUCACUUUGAACAGAGCGGCCAGAGCGAGCACAGCGAACAUUUGUACACCUAUAUCUUUACCUAGCCAGCAUAGGAAUUAAAAGAGGUAGCGGGCACUAGAGCCAAAAGCAAAUAAUCUUACAUUGAACGAGUAAGACUGAGGACUCGGCGGACUUUGUCCGAGAAAACCCUCUUCACAUUGAAGAGGUGGGUAUUUUAAUAUAUUUGUAAUUAUGCUGUAUUUCUAUAUAAUAUAUAGAUUGAAUGUAACAGUUGUAAUACGUAUUCCAUUAUUGUAACUUAUGUAACUGGCUACGGCCAGGUAGUUGUUUGACAUGUCUUAGCUUAUGUGAUUGUAUAAAUGUUAUAUGUGUAGUAAUAUGAUGUAUUUCAUGUUACAGGGUUUUUACUUACGUAAUAAAUUAACUGAGAAAAGAACCCAGGAGUUGUCGUAUAUCCACGAUAAAAGACGACUAUUACAUUGGCGCCCACGUAUCGUUGAUGGCCUAGUGUACCCGCCGACACGCUUGACGGGAUGGAUAUCUACCGACCGUAAAUGUAGACCGGACUGGAAAAUUCACCUGAGUGACCUAUUCCACCUGAUGACGGGAUGGAUUUCGUCUGUAUGUGAAUGCAGGAUGUAUACCAGAGAGGCACGCACGUACGCUCGAACGACCUUCGGACGACCUUGAUCAACGAGUGUUUUGUGUAUCACGCGACUGCAAUGUGCGCAGUUGAUUCUAUAUGUUAUUGGACCCGGAGAAGAACUGGACCUGUGCUGACCGUACACGCUUACAUUGAACGAGUAAGACUGAGGACUCGGCGGACUUUGUCCGAGAAAACCCUCUUCACAUUGAAGAGGUGGGUAUUUUAAUAUAUUUGUAGUUAUGCUGUAUUUCUAUAUAAUAUAUAGAUUGAAUGUAACAGUUGUAAUACGUAUUCCACUAUUGUAACUUAUGUAACUGGCUACGGCCAGGUAGUUGUUUGAUAUGUCUUAGCUUAUGUGAUUGUAUAAAUGUUAUAUGUGUAGUAAUAUGAUGUAUUUCA